Molecule: transfer RNA, 72 nt
Filed under: Triparma laevis
Lineage: Eukaryota; Bolidophyceae; Parmales; Triparmaceae
Description: tRNA-Gly
Rfam family: tRNA
About the family: Transfer RNA (tRNA) molecules are approximately 80 nucleotides in length. Their secondary structure includes four short double-helical elements and three loops (D, anti-codon, and T loops).
Source: RNAcentral
GCGAAAGUAACUCAAUGGUAGAGUGUAACCUUGCCAAGGUUAAAGUUGAGAGUUCAAGUCUCUUCUUUCGCU